AUUGAACGCUGGCGGCAGGCCUAACACAUGCAAGUCGAGCGGAUGAAGGGAGCUUGCUCCUGGAUUCAGCGGCGGGCGGGUGAGUAAUGCCUAGGAAUCUGCCUGGUAGUGGGGGAUAACGUCCGGAAACGGGCGCUAAUACCGCAUACGUCCUGAGGGAGAAAGUGGGGGACCUUCGGACCUCACGCUAUCAGAUGAGCCUAGGUCGGAUUAGCUAGUUGGUGGGGUAAAGGCCUACCAAGGCGACGAUCCGUAACUGGUCUGAGAGGAUGAUCAGUCACACUGGAACUGAGACACGGUCCAGACUCCUACGGGAGGCAGCAGUGGGGAAUAUUGGACAAUGGGCGAAAGCCUGAUCCAGCCAUGCCGCGUGUGUGAAGAAGGUCUUCGGAUUGUAAAGCACUUUAAGUUGGGAGGAAGGGCAGUAAGUUAAUACCUUGCUGUUUUGACGUUACCAACAGAAUAAGCACCGGCUAACUUCGUG
This 484-nucleotide ribosomal RNA is filed under the name uncultured bacterium. Its description in RNAcentral is "partial 16S ribosomal RNA". It matches the Rfam family "Bacterial small subunit ribosomal RNA", at positions 30 to 507 of the family's 1533-position model. The record is from RNAcentral.